AACCCCCAGCAGCCGCGGUAAUACGUAGGGCGCGAGCGUUGUCCGGAAUUAUUGGGCGUAAAGACAUCGUUGGCGGUUGGUAGCGUUUACUGUGAAAGACCGGGGUUUAACUCCGGUUUUCCAGUGGGUAUGGGCUAACUAGAGUCCAGUAGGGGAGACUGGAAUUCCUGGUGUAGCGGUGGAAUGCACAGAUAUCAGGAGGAACCCCGAUGGCGAAGGCAGGUCUCCGGGCUGUCACGGACGCUGAGAAGCGAACGCAUGGGGAGCGAACAGC
This 274-nucleotide ribosomal RNA is filed under the name Rothia aeria. Its description in RNAcentral is "partial 16S ribosomal RNA". It matches the Rfam family "Bacterial small subunit ribosomal RNA", at positions 502 to 776 of the family's 1533-position model. Lineage: Bacteria; Bacillati; Actinomycetota; Actinomycetes; Micrococcales; Micrococcaceae. The record is from RNAcentral.